UAGGGAAUCUUCCACAAUGGACGAAAGUCUGAUGGAGCAACGCCGCGUGAGUGAAGUAAGGUUUUCGGAUACGUAAAGCUCUGUUGUUGGUGAAGAAGGAUAGAGGCAGUAACUGGUCUUUAUUGACGGUAAUCAACAGAAAGCCACGGCUAACUACGUGCCAG
RNAcentral lists this ribosomal RNA (164 nucleotides) under uncultured bacterium. RNAcentral describes it as "partial 16S rRNA". It matches the Rfam family "Bacterial small subunit ribosomal RNA", at positions 355 to 511 of the family's 1533-position model. The record is from RNAcentral.